RNAcentral lists this ribosomal RNA (583 nucleotides) under Alternaria bryophylli. RNAcentral's name for it is "eukaryotic LSU rRNA". It matches the Rfam family "Eukaryotic large subunit ribosomal RNA", at positions 53 to 651 of the family's 3401-position model. The record is from RNAcentral. Lineage: Eukaryota; Fungi; Ascomycota; Dothideomycetes; Pleosporales; Pleosporaceae.
GAGGAAAAGAAACCAACAGGGAUUGCCCUAGUAACGGCGAGUGAAGCGGCAACAGCUCAAAUUUGAAAUCGGGCCCUUUUAGGGUCCGAGUUGUAAUUUGCAGAGGGUGCUUUGGCUUUGGCAGCGGUCCAAGUUCCUUGGAACAGGACGUCACAGAGGGUGAGAAUCCCGUACGUGGUCGCUGGCUAUUGCCGUGUAAAGCCCCUUCGACGAGUCGAGUUGUUUGGGAAUGCAGCUCUAAAUGGGAGGUACAUUUCUUCUAAAGCUAAAUAUUGGCCAGAGACCGAUAGCGCACAAGUAGAGUGAUCGAAAGAUGAAAAGCACUUUGGAAAGAGAGUCAAACAGCACGUGAAAUUGUUGAAAGGGAAGCGCUUGCAGCCAGACUUGCUUGCAGUUGCUCAUCCGGGCUUUUGCCCGGUGCACUCUUCUGUAGGCAGGCCAGCAUCAGUUUGGGCGGAAGGAUAAAGGUCUCUGUCACGUACCUCUCUUCGGGGAGGCCUUAUAGGGGAGGCGACAUACUUCCAGCCUGGACUGAGGUCCGCGCAUCUGCUAGGAUGCUGGCGUAAUGGCUGUAAGCGGCCCG